GAAAGUUCAGCAGAACAGGUGAAGGUGAUGAUCUCUGUUUCCUGGAUAACUUUUGACAUUCCAGCAAAGGGUAAUUUCUUUGUUGGAAGAAAAUGAUUGGCAUACCACAGGAUAUUUUAGCUCAGCUGGAUUAAUUCUAAUACUUGUACAGACUGAAGAUGCAUAAGAUGUUGGGAGGGGACACAGCUAUGAGAACUAACCUAAAUGGAUCAAAAGGAUAUCCCAUACCUGACGGAGUCAUGCAAUAAAAUGCUGAAGUAAAGAAGGAGGAAAGGGAGGGCAUUCAGAGUAAUGGCAUUUGUCUUCUCAAGAAACCAUUACACGUGAUAAAUGCUGGUUUACUGCAAGUGGCUGAACCUCUGCCUGCAGGUGUGAAGAGCUAAAU
Long non-coding RNA from Numida meleagris (helmeted guineafowl), 385 nucleotides. RefSeq lists it as uncharacterized. The transcript has 3 exons. NCBI's taxonomy places the organism in Eukaryota, Metazoa, Chordata, Aves, Galliformes, Numididae. The record is from RefSeq and is a predicted model, not a curated record.